UGAACGCCUUUAAGUCAGAAUCCGUGCCCAGAAAGCGACGACGCCUCCCGCACGUAUAGAUGGACACGAAUAGGCCUCUGGCUUAGCGUCUUAGCAGGCGAAGAACGCCAACGCUCUGGAAACGGGUGUUGGUACUUUGCGAAUUGUAAUUUCAGCACGAGCGGGGUCGAAUCCCUUGCAGACGACUUUGAUGUGCGAAAGGGUCCUGUAAGCAGUAGAGUAGCCUUGUUGUUACGAUCUGCUGAGGGUAAGCCCUACUUCGCCUCGAUUU
This 271-nucleotide ribosomal RNA is filed under the name Verticillium zaregamsianum. Its description in RNAcentral is "partial 28S ribosomal RNA". It matches the Rfam family "Eukaryotic large subunit ribosomal RNA", at positions 3121 to 3399 of the family's 3401-position model. Lineage: Eukaryota; Fungi; Ascomycota; Sordariomycetes; Glomerellales; Plectosphaerellaceae. The record is from RNAcentral.